Molecule: transfer RNA, 73 nt
Filed under: Stegodyphus mimosarum
Lineage: Eukaryota; Metazoa; Arthropoda; Arachnida; Araneae; Eresidae
Rfam family: tRNA
About the family: Transfer RNA (tRNA) molecules are approximately 80 nucleotides in length.
Source: Rfam by way of RNAcentral
GCCUUCGUGGUGUAGUGGUCAGCACGCUCGGUGCGUAUUGGAGAGAUCCGUGGUUCGAAUCCCGGGGAGGGCA